Danio rerio (zebrafish) is the source of this 5567-nucleotide non-coding RNA. Lineage: Eukaryota; Metazoa; Chordata; Actinopteri; Cypriniformes; Danionidae. The record is from RefSeq and is a predicted model, not a curated record.
GUGUGUGUUUACCUUCUUGCCAAACAAACCAAGGCUGCGAGGCAUUAAAGGCCUCUUUUGAGCUGCCUCAGGGUCAGGCACCUCUCUGACCUUCUAUUCUGCACUGCUGCAGCUGAUGUAACCUUCCCUCACUGACUCAAAACAAUUACUUUCAGCUUUGUAGGAAACCUUGGCUUCUAUAACUGUAGGUUUUACUCUCCAAGCCCCAUAACUUAAAAACGAAGAAGCAACUCCCCUCCACCAUCACAUCCUAUUUCUUGUUUCUGGUGCUCCAUUACCCAUGGAGCUGGAGUCUGGCAAAGGCAUGCAGAAGAUGAGAAGAGCAGAUACAGUAGCUGUUACUGCUGCAGUCUGUUUUCUCUCUCUGCCUCACCUCCCUCUACGGCCCACAAGCGGUAAACAUUGUGUGUUGACAUAUGGCCCUCCAAGAUUUAAUCGCCCUUUAUUACAUUUUGUCGGUGGGAAAAAAAUGAAGCGAUACAAGUUUGCACAUUACCAUCGGUGUGUGUGUGUGUGUGUGUGUGUUUUCUUAGAAGGUCUAUCCAAAACAAGAGAUGCAUAACCAAAAAGUGUUUAUUUGAAAAUAUUUGCCUCGGCGCAUUUAAUAUUUAUUGCAUACAUAUUGAAUAUUUGAGCUGCAUCAAACAUGUAAAUUAUUCACUCUCAUAAUUACCUGUGUUUAUUCACAUAGUUACUACUCGGCUGUUGAUUGAAGCUUGUUUGUUAUUCAUGGAGCAAACCUCGUGCCAAAGGACUCUCCUGAUGAUGUAACGUCAUGUAAUUACAGGCAGAUGACAGUAAUGCAAAAUCCAUUAUGUGGUUUAAUCUCUUUAGAAGAAUGCACAUGGGGCCGUCUGGAGCCUAUCACUCAAUCAUAUGGUGAAAGUGUUGGAUACAGUGAAUGUAUGACCACUUUUCUGUCCUUUGUGAGUGUCUGUUUGCUUACUAGCUUUUUAGGGCUAUUUUUUAAACCCUAGGCUAAUCCCAUGAUCCCGCUUUGCAAUGUGUUUUGACGUUUUGGUCACAUUUGACUCCCCCUUCCCAUGUCAACCAAUAACAUCAUUUAAUUAAGUCCUGAAAUGCAGAUAUUUCUCUGGUGUGAAACCAAAUGUUCUUUUUUUUUUCAUCAAUCCUUUUUUCUUUGUGCAUCCAACCUAAAGAUGCUGCCUCUGGGAAAAGCAGACAACCGUCGCACUGGUUUGGAAAGAUCCCGUUCGCGCCACAAUGCAAACCCUAUGGUCCGAUGAUCGCUUGCCGGCUAAGGACGUUCGCCAAGUGCCAAAGACCCAAGAGUGGGGACAACACCGAGGAGGGCUGAACCGGGAUGGAGACGGAGCCCUCGGCUUUCACAUACAUACACACAUGCACACAAAACGCAGAAAAAACCUCAAGAUGUGCAUCACAGACACUUCAUUGCAGGAUCACAUGACCCUUCUGAAGCCUUAUAUACUACAUCGUGCAAUGCGCCAGUUUAAUUAUGCGGCGUUUGUUUGGUAUUUUCAGUUAUGUCAGCUUUGUUUAUUUCUCAUGACGCUGACUUCCCUGAUUUGGCUCACUAUCUCCAAACAAUCAAUGAUUGGCUGUGGUUUGAUCUCUCGCUAUUGGACAGACAAACAUGCUCCUGAUGACAAAGGCCACCAGAAAGGACUGUGCGAUUCUGUAUGCAUAUCAGCAGAGGGACUUUAUUUGAAAAAAAACAUGACUUGACUGAAACUGCCUACCCCUUUUGCUUUCUGACAGAUUUAGAUCUCCGAUCCUUAAUUCCCCCCCUCAGCUGUAUAACCUCUGAUCACUGCCUCUCUUCAUAUAUUACAAAUCCUAUGUAUGUAGCGACAUGAAAAAGCUGCUGAUAUUAGCUUCAGUGUGUACACAUUUGUGCUGUGUAAGACCUGCCAGUGCCACAAGGUACCUUAGGUGGAUGAAAGAUAUUGCUCUUUAUCUACGGUAAACACUUCAAACAUUCGCAGAUGUUUCUCUAGCAGAGUCAAAGGUUUUAUUAAGUGAAUCUGCAGGUAUGCGAAUCAAAGAGAUGCCAUUCAUUUCAGUUUUCAAAUAUGUCACGGCUUUUCUUCGUGAUUUCCUUCCAAGUCACUGUGCUUUUAGCUUUUAGCCCUCUUGUAGAAGAGCAUUUUAGUGAACUGUAGCUUAGGGGUUUUUAUGAGGGGUUUUCUUCAAAAUCCAAUGGUCAACUUUAAGAGCUCUCUCUUUCUGACCGAAUGCAUUUGCUUCGCCAUCCGUGCUUUCACAAAGAGGAGUAUUUAUCAGAUUCAGUACUCAAAGUUCACGUUUCACAGUUUGCAGAAUAUGAAUUUAUUCUCAGUUUGCCAGAUUUAGCCUGAAGCUUUUGAUAUGUGAACAUUAACCAGAUUCCAGUCAUACAGUAGUAGAAAGUGACACAACGUUCACAACAUGGUGGCUGUCUUCAUGUGAAAACCAUUAGUGAAAUUUUCCCCGCCACCUCCCUUCUCUUAUGCUUGUUGAGGAGUCAUUUUUCGUAAUGUCUUCGACCCCCCAUGUCCAUAACACUGCAGGCAACAAUAUGAGUGACUGGAGUCAUACUGGUACAAGCCACACGCAAAUCCGCUGCUUUUCUUUAUGUGAAGGCAAUGAGUUAAAUUUGCACAUCCAGUGCAAGUAAAUGCAGUACAACCAUGGUGUGGUGUUAAACAAGCCAGUCUUUCUUCUCGCACUGUGUUUGUCAUACUCUCCCUCAAGAGGGAGAGGAAAGGUCGAGAUGCAGCGAAUCGCAAUCCAUUGAUUUGCUUUUCUAAUUAAAACUGCCCUUUGAAUGGUUUCCAGAAGCUGCACUCGGCUCUCAUGACUCUCACUACUGGUUAUUUUAAACUUAAGUUAAUGGUAAUUACAGCAUCUGCACACUGUCAGUGCAGACAUCUUCCACAUGCAUUGUUAUUUCCCAGUCAAACUCCGUUUAGAUACAUUUAUCUGGUGGAUUCAUCAAAUAAUUCCCAAGCUUUCUGUCUUAUAGUCAGAAACGAUAGUCUUUUGAUACAUGUGCCAAACAUUCAUGAUACACAAAAGAAAGCUAGCAUACUGAGAUUAAGGAAGAUGAUUUAGUCGAAUGUUAUCACUCGAUUGAAUGGCUGUUAUCAGUGGUUAUCAGCUUAUAGAUAUGGACCAGUAGGGGGCUUCUGUGCCUACUAUUAGAAUUAAUACAAAUAAUUCUCGUGGUUAAUCAGCUAUACUAAUGGAGAAGACUCAAGAUCCAGACCUGUUUUUACAUUACUGUGGCGGUUGAGAUUAGGGUUGAGGUAGAGGUAGACGUUAAUAUAAUACAAUUAAUGGGAAAUUUAAUAAAUCAUUCAUUCAUUCAUUCAUUUUCUACCUAUUUUCUGGGGCUGGGUCGCAGGGGCAGCAGUCUUAGGAAAGAGCCCUAGACUUCCCUCUCCCCAGACACUUCCUCCAGCUAUUCCAAGGGGAUCCCGAGGUGUUCUCAGGCCAGCCGAGGGACAUAUUCCCUCCAGCAUGUCCUGGGUUUUCCCCAAGGCCUGCUCCCAGUGGGACAUGCCUGGAACACACCGCCUUAGAUAGGCAUGCAAGAGGCAUCCGCAACAGAUGCCUGAGCCACCUCAGCUGACUUCUCUCGAUGUGGAGGAGCAGUGGCUCUACUCCCAGCUGCUCCCAGGUUUCAAUGCUCCUCACCCUAUCCAUAAAGGUACGCCUUGCCACCCUGCAAAGAAAAGUCAUAUCGGCCGCUUUUAUCUGAGAUCUUGUCCUCUCAGUUAUGACCAUAGGUGAGAGUAGUAACCUAGACUGACCGGUAAAUUGAAAGCUUUGCUUUUCAGCUCAGCUCCUUCUUUACCACAACGGACCGAUACAUCGACUGAAUUACUGCUGCCACUGCACCAAUCCACCUGUCAAUCUCACUUUCAAUUCUUCCCUCAAUCCUGAACAAAACCCCAAGAUACUUGAACUCCUUCACCUGGAACUUUGCUUCCAACAUGGAGAUGGCAAACCACCUUUUUCCGGUGGAGCACCAAGGCCUUGGACUUGAAGGUGCUGAUUCUCAUCCCAGCCGCAUCACACUUGGCAGCAAACUGCUCCAGUGCUUGAUGAAGCCAACAAAACAAUAUAGUCUGCGAAUAGCAGAGAUGAAGUCCCGUUGUUUCCUGAACCGGACCCUCUCCUGCCCAAGGCUGCGCUUUGAAAUUCUGUCCAUAAAAAUAAAGAGCAGAAUUGGUGACAAGGGGCAGCCUUGCUGGAGUCCAACAUGCAAUGGAAACAAGUCUGACUUAUUGUCGGCAAUGCGAACCAAACUCCUACUCUGUUCAUACAGGGACGAGAUGGCCCUUAACAGAGCGCCUCUGACCCCAUAGCCCCAGAGCACCCUCCACAAAAUGCCACGAGAGACAUGGUCUAAUGCCUUCUCCAAGUCCACAAAACACAUGUGGGCUGGUUGUGCAUACUCCCAUGAACCCUCGAAAUUUAAUAAAUAAUAUAAAUAAUUCUCAUUAACUUUCGCCCGCAACUGUAUGUUAUCUAUAGCUGAUUAACCAUCUGAAUGGAUGAUAACAGCCCACUGAGCCUAUCAGUUGGAGCAGCAGGCACCUAUUGGAACAUAUCUAUCAGCUGUUAACCACAGAUUACGCUCAUUCGAUAACAUUUAAAUCGGCUGAUUUAGUUCAAAUCACACUAAUAUUUUCUGAAUGAUGAAAACGAGUCACUACAUUACACAUGGAAACAGCAGUAUCGCAUCCAUUCAGAGUUAAAAAACAGAGAUAGGGCUUAGUGAUGUCGUAAUUUUUACAACUAUAAUGUCUCUUUAAAAAAAAGUGUAAUUUAUAGACUUUUUUCCUCUCUUUCCUAAGAAAACAUCGUUUUAUACCAGUGAUCAUCCCCUCCAUCAGUGAUGUUGGUGUUAAUCUUGUGCAUUACUAUAGGCUAAUAUAUAUGUGUGAUGUGUAUUUGAUAGAGAGUAUAUCCUAAUGCAGGUUAGAGUCUGCAAGUGACUGACAGUGUAACAUUUCCAGUCAAAUCCAAUACUUUAAUUGGAUGCUAGGCAGAGACCAGAAGUAGGCAUAAAAAAUGAAGUUACUAGUGCCAAUUUGGGUCCUCUGCUGUCUCAUUUAUCCACAUUUCUUUGAUAUCCUCAGUUUGGAUUGUAUGAUGGUGCACUUUAACUUGUUAAAUAUAGACUGGAGGGAUCUUUUAGUUUGCAUAUCAUUGCCAAAACAGACUGCUCGCAUGUGCGGUAACUAUUUCUGACAAGCGAUUCAAUCUCCAUUCUCUGAAGUCUCCCCCAGUUCGCUCUCAUUCCCGCUCAUUGUAAUUGGCACUUGGAACAAGAUCAAAGUUUAAUGGGUAAGAACAACAGCAACUGUCUCAGGACAUCCUUUUAUUUUUUAGGUAAGAUUCCAUAGACAUGCCUUUCUUUUUUUCUCCCAGACAUUGUGUUUUAUUGUCUUAUUAUAAGCGAUUUAUAUUUGUAACAUCUUUAAGUUUAUUUUUAUCUGUGACUUUAAAAAAAUGAGGUGAAAAUGGUUAUGCACACUGUACCCGAGUAUGUAACAAAACAUCAUACUAAAUAAUAACCACUUUCUCAAAAACAG